UCCCAGAUACUUCAUGGUGGACUCGACAGC
Molecule: small RNA, 30 nt
Filed under: Bombyx mori (domestic silkworm)
Lineage: Eukaryota; Metazoa; Arthropoda; Insecta; Lepidoptera; Bombycidae
Description: ovarian small RNA-27155
Source: RNAcentral